Molecule: ribosomal RNA, 820 nt
Filed under: bacterium enrichment culture clone 21TP
Lineage: Bacteria
Description: bacterial SSU rRNA
Rfam family: Bacterial small subunit ribosomal RNA
Source: RNAcentral
GCGCGAGUUUAGGGAUAGUGGCGAACGGGUGAGUAAAAGGUAGGAAUCUACCCCUUGGACGGAGAUAGCUACUGGAAACGGUAGGUAAACUUCGAUAAGCCCGAGAGGGGAAAGUGGUGAGACAGCCGAGGGAUGAGCCUACUCUCCAUCAGGUAGUUGGUGAGAUAAAAGCUUACCAAGCCGAUGACGGAUAACCGGUGUGAGAGCAUGAACGGUCACAAGGGCACUGAGAGACGGGCCCUACUCCUACGGGAGGCAGCAGUGGGGAAUCUUGGACAAUGGGCGAAAGCCUGAUCCAGCGACGCCGCGUGGAGGAAGAAGUCCUUCGGGAUGUAAACUUCUGAACUAGCCGAAUAAAAGGCCUGUGGACACACAGGAGAAGAAAGUAGGCUAGGAAAAGUCCCGGCUAACUACGUGCCAGCAGCCGCGGUAAGACGUAGGGGGCAAGCGUUACCCGGAAUUACUGGGCGUAAAGGGGGCGUAGGCGGUAAAAGAAGUCAUCUGUGAAGACCUAUUGCUCAACGAUAGGCUAGCGGAUGAAACUGAAUUACUUGAGGGCACCAGAGGUAGACGGAAUUACCCGAGUAGGGGUGAAAUCCGCAGAUACGGGUAGGAACGCCGGUGGAGAAGUCGGUCUACUGGGGUGCACCAGACGCUGAGGCCCGAAAGCUAGGGGAGCAAACCGGAUUAGAUACCCGGGUAGUCCUAGCCGUAAACGAUGCUCACUAGGUGUAGGGAGUGAUAAACUCUCUGUGCUGAAGCGAACGCGCUAAGUGAGCCGCCUGGGGAGUACGUCCGCAAGGAUGAAACUCAAAGGAAU